Molecule: ribosomal RNA, 253 nt
Filed under: uncultured bacterium
Lineage: Bacteria
Description: partial 16S ribosomal RNA
Rfam family: Bacterial small subunit ribosomal RNA
Source: RNAcentral
UACAGGGGGGGCAAGCGUUGUUCGGAAUUACUGGGCGUAAAGGGCUCGUAGGUGGCCAACUAAGUCAGACGUGAAAUCCCUCAGCUUAACUGGGGAACUGCGUCUGAUACUGGAUGGCUUGAGUUUGGGAGAGGGAUGCAGAAUUCCAGGUGUAGCGGUGAAAUGCGUAGAUAUCUGGAGGAAUACCGGUGGCGAAGGCGGCAUCCUGGACCGACAUUGACGCUGAACGGCGAAAGCUAGGGGAGCAAACGGG